This 199-nucleotide long non-coding RNA is filed under the name Canis lupus familiaris (dog). RNAcentral's name for it is "lncRNA (ENSCAFG00845006740.1)". The record is from RNAcentral. Lineage: Eukaryota; Metazoa; Chordata; Mammalia; Carnivora; Canidae.
GAAUUUUCUUUUGCCUUUCUGUUUGCAUUUUCUUUAAAGCUGAAUUAGGAGUCAAAAUCAGGGUGCUGUCUUUGACUGCAUAGGUUUCACACUACACAACUCUGGGAGGUCACCAUUCAUAGAGACCACAAUGGGACUCAACAGCCCUGGUUAUGAUGCUCUGGUGCUCUUAGAUGCUGUUUAAACAUUACAUUAAAAG